GUCGGUAUCGAUUAGGGGUUAAAUCACUUCGUUGUGGAGUACACUACCGAAGAGCCGCUGGUUCGAUUCCAGCUACCGACA
This is a non-coding RNA of Amanita rubescens, 81 nucleotides long. The record is from the annotation of a GenBank genome assembly. NCBI's taxonomy places the organism in Eukaryota, Fungi, Basidiomycota, Agaricomycetes, Agaricales, Amanitaceae.